UACUGUGAUUACUUUUAGAAAUCAGAAAACCUCUGCAACUCCAAAUGGCAUUCAGCUCUUGCAUUUGGCGCACCAUCAGGCUGAGCGGACCAGCUAUGCCAAGAACGUUAGCCAAGCCACCAGGUAGUGGCUUUAUCACGCCAGUUCUGGGUCCUGGCUGCCAUCUUCCCACAGAAAGCAGAAGAGCGCCCACAGAACUCUGGGAGAUUGCAAAGGUCAUAUGUGCAUAUUUACCAGUGAAUGGCCCUAGGUGGGCACCAUGGGGGUGUUCAGAGCAAGCCAAACGCUGCAAUGAUUCUUUACAGACACUUAAGACUGACUUUUUUAUGAAUUACUUAAUCGAAACCAAAGAAACUUUUUCUGCACCUACUUCUGCAACAAACAGAACUGUCCCAUUAAAUGAAUAAACAAAUCCGUAAAUCAAUGGAAAUCACCAUCAACAAGAAGGAAGCACGCCAGAAAAAAGAAAACCCACAAAAAACAAAAAUCAGCGCGACACACUGUGUUCAAACAGACCUCUUGGGACAUUUUUUGGAAGCAGAUUUGAAAGAAAGGGUUGAGACAAGAAUUGAAGUAAGGAAGAGCCUGAAUGGCUGCUGCUUCAUUUGACAACUCACAUGGUAAUCUUAAAGUUGAAGAUUGUCUUUAAUUUGUGCCUAUGCAGUUUUUCAAAAGAACACGGAACAGAGCAACAGAAACCUCAACAGCUACAAUACCAAAGAUGAGGAUUUCUCACACCUUUUGUUUCAGUUCAUUAUCUUCUUUUGCCUGGCUAAAAUACUAAUAGCGCCAUUGAUCUGUACAAAGAGAGCACUGCAGUUUGUUUGCUGUCAGAACAACAGAGCAAAUUUUGUGGACAAGCAAUGACUACUCAACCUGAACCUGUGCAUUCAGAAAACAUAAGCUGAGACCCUGCUUCACCAGCCUGGAUUUCGGGGCUUCUAUAUGGAAAGUGGAAAAAUAAAUUUUAAAAAAAUCAUAAACAAAAAAGAGAGAAACCCUUAACACUAGCUGCUUCCAAGAAUGAACUCUGUGUGUGCCAGAAGCAACAAAACAGAAAAGGAAAAAAAAGCAGAAAAAAAGAAAAAAAAGGAAAAACUUUCUAUUUCUAGUGAGAACCAAAGAAGGCUACCUCACUGACUUUUUCCAUUUGUAAUUUUAAUCGUGUUGAUGACACCAAAGAUACCAAAGAUUUCUUUCUCUGUGCGGUCUGCAUUUUGCUUGUGCUCUUUUAUAAUUUAACUAUUCUCUCUGACAUAUGGUAUGUACAGCCACAGCUCAGAUACCCCAAAGAAAUAAUUAUCUAUGUGAUGGUGGCUGCUAAUUUGGAAAGGGAUAUUUUCUGUGUUUCUCUCAUUUAUUUGCUCUCUCCACAUGAUCAGGACGCAAGUUUAGAUGCUGCUUUAAUUGGAUUCCCUAAAUUAUGAUCCCUAAAUUGAUGAAGACUGGUAGGAGAGGGCCUUCAGUUCUAGCCAUGACCUCUGUCCCUCCUGUGGAGCUAUCACAGGAAAGAGACAAGUACUGGGUCAUAGAAAUUCUAACCAUUGGAUUGUAGAGUAGGAAAAGGACUAUAGGAUUCAUUAAGUCCAGCCCCCUAUGUCCUGGAGAAAUGAAAUCAUUAUCCAAGUCAAAUUACACCAGAGUCACAGCCACUAAUCUCCUAGCUCCACCCCAGUGCUCUGCAUAUUGCUGUCAAGUAGGCAAGUAGGAAAGUAGCAAUCCUGUAGCUGCUUAUUAUCUAACAUUCUCAUCCUAUAAGGAUAGUUACAGGUACUUUCAGUAUCUUAUCCAGUUACAUCUCCACAGAGGUACAUAUGAUCCAGUGCUUAGUAAGGUCGACAGUCUUGAAAUAUUAGGGCUCAUUUGGAGGUUUCUAACCUGGGAAGUGCAUAUUGAUCCAAACAGUGCGAUCACUUUUGAACCUCCCCAUUAAAAGUGUUGUAUAAACAAGCUUUUAAUUCAGUAGGAAGAGAGAGUUCAUUCUUGGCCCAUUAAAUUUAAUUAUUAUGGACAUUUUAAGGUCAGUAUUUACCAAGAAAGAGAACAUGACUAUAGUUUGCACAUACAGCAUUUCAGUGAUCAGCUUUUUCUUUUAUUCUUUUUUACUUAUAGAUGUUUAAAUUUUAUUCCUAAGCCAAAGGUAUAUUUUCAAGAGCCUUACAUUUUUGAUGCUAAACAGCUACUCAUUGUAAAUGAAGAAUGAGCCCAAGAUUUCAAAUGCAUGGAUAUGCCAUUUUUAAAAAUGGUUACUUAGGGCUCGGAUUUAGCUCAGUGGUUCCAGCGCCUGCCUUGCAAGCGCAAGGUCCCAAGUUCGAUUCCCA
Long non-coding RNA from Heterocephalus glaber (naked mole-rat), 2321 nucleotides. Lineage: Eukaryota; Metazoa; Chordata; Mammalia; Rodentia; Bathyergidae. The record is from Ensembl.